ACGAACGCUGGCGGCGUGCUUAACCCAUGCCAGUCGAACGGAAAGGCCCUGCUUUUGUGGGGUGCUCGAGUGGCGAACGGGUGAGUAACACGUGAGUAACCUGCCCUUGACUUUGGGAUAACUUCAGGAAACUGGGGCUAAUACCGGAUAGGAGCUCCUGCUGCAUGGUGGGGGUUGGAAAGUUUCGGCGGUUGGGGAUGGACUCGCGGCUUAUCAGCUUGUUGGUGGGGUAGUGGCUUACCAAGGCUUUGACGGGUAGCCGGCCUGAGAGGGUGACCGGCCACAUUGGGACUGAGAUACGGCCCAGACUCCGACGGGAGGCAGCAGUGGGGAAUAUUGCACAAUGGGCGGAAGCCUGAUGCAGCAACGCCGCGUGCGGGAUGACGGCCUUCGGGUUGUAAACCGCUUUCGCCUGUGACGAAGCGUGAGUGACGGUAAUGGGUAAAGAAGCACCGGCUAACUACGUG
Molecule: ribosomal RNA, 467 nt
Filed under: uncultured bacterium
Lineage: Bacteria
Description: partial 16S ribosomal RNA
Rfam family: Bacterial small subunit ribosomal RNA
Source: RNAcentral